RNAcentral lists this ribosomal RNA (460 nucleotides) under uncultured bacterium. RNAcentral describes it as "partial 16S ribosomal RNA". It matches the Rfam family "Bacterial small subunit ribosomal RNA", at positions 338 to 795 of the family's 1533-position model. The record is from RNAcentral.
CCUACGGGAGGCAGCAGUGAGGAAUAUUGGUCAAUGGACGAGAGUCUGAACCAGCCAAGUAGCGUGAAGGAUGACUGCCCUAUGGGUUGUAAACUUCUUUUAUAUGGGACUAAAAUGUUCCACGUGUGGGAUUUUGUAUGUACCAUAUGAAUAAGGCUCGGCUAACUCCGUGCCAGCAGCCGCGGUAAUACGGAGGAUCCGAGCGUUCUCCGGUUUUAUUGGGGUUAAAGGGAGCGUAGGUGGAUUGUUAAGUCAGUUGUGAAAGUUUGCGGCUCAACCGUAAAAUUGCAGUUGAAACUGGCAGUCUUGAGUACAGUAGAGGUGGGCGGAAUUCGUGGUGUAGCGGUGAAAUGCUUAGAUAUCACGAAGAACUCCGAUUGCGAAGGCAGUUCACUGGACUGCAACUGACACUGAGGCUCGAAAGUGUGGGUAUCAAACAGGAUUAGAUACCCCUGUAGUC